AUUGAACGCUGGCGGCAUGCCUUACACAUGCAAGUCGAACGGCAACAGGUCUUCGGAUGCUGACGAGUGGCGAACGGGUGAGUAAUACAUUGGAACGUGCCUAGUAGUGGGGGAUAACUACUCGAAAGAGUGGCUAAUACCGCAUGAGAUCUACGGAUGAAAGCAGGGGAUCGCAAGACCUUGUGCUACUAGAGCGGCCGAUGGCAGAUUAGGUAGUUGGUGGGAUAAAAGCUUACCAAGCCGACGAUCUGUAGCUGGUCUGAGAGGACGAUCAGCCACACUGGGACUGAGACACGGCCCAGACUCCUACGGGAGGCAGCAGUGGGGAAUUUUGGACAAUGGGCGCAAGCCUGAUCCAGCAAUGCCGCGUGCAGGAUGAAGGCCUUCGGGUUGUAAACUGCAUUUGUACGGAACGAAAAGCCCCGGGUUAAUACCCUGGGGUCAUGACGGUACCGUAAGAAUAAGCACCGGCUAACUAUGUGCCAGCCGCCGCAGUAA
Molecule: ribosomal RNA, 498 nt
Filed under: uncultured bacterium
Lineage: Bacteria
Description: partial 16S ribosomal RNA
Rfam family: Bacterial small subunit ribosomal RNA
Source: RNAcentral